AAGUCGUAACAAGGUUUCCGUAGGUGAACCUGCGGAAGGAUCAUUAUCGAAAUUAUUGGUGAGGGUUGUAGCUGGCCUUUCGAGGCAUGUGCACGCUUGAGCCCUUAAUCCACUUUACACCUGUGCACUUAAUGUAGGUCGCCCUUAAAAAAGGUGACCUAUGUCUUAUCAUCAACCCAUCGUAUGUCUCAUAGAAUGUAAUCGAUAUCCUCGCCCUAAAAAAGCGUUGAUAAACUUAUACAACUUUCAACAACGGAUCUCUUGGCUCUCGCAUCGAUGAAGAACGCAGCGAAAUGCGAUAAGUAAUGUGAAUUGCAGAUUUUCGGUGAAUCAUCGAAUCUUUGAACGCACCUUGCGCUCCUUGGUAUUCCGAGGAGCAUGCCUGUUUGAGUGUCAUUAAAUUCUCAACUCCAAGGGUUUCACGACCUUUCGGAGAUUGGACUUGGAGGUGCUGGCCGCAUAUUGGUCGGCUCCUCUCAAAUGCAUCAGCGGAAUUCAACCUUUGGCUUCCGGAUGUCAGUGUGAUAAUCAUGUUGCGCUGUCGUUUGAUCCCUCAGAGUCCGCUUAUAAUGGUCUUCGGACAAAAUCAUCAUCAAAUUUGACCUCAAAUCAGGUAGGACUACCCGCUGAACUUAA
Molecule: ribosomal RNA, 636 nt
Filed under: uncultured Piloderma
Lineage: Eukaryota; Fungi; Basidiomycota; Agaricomycetes; Atheliales; Atheliaceae
Description: eukaryotic LSU rRNA
Rfam family: 5.8S ribosomal RNA (bases 242-396)
Source: RNAcentral